AGUGAACGCUGGCGGUAGGCCUAACACAUGCAAGUCGAACGGCAGCACAGUAAGAGCUUGCUCUUACGGGUGGCGAGUGGCGGACGGGUGAGGAAUACAUCGGAAUCUACUUUUUCGUGGGGGAUAACGUAGGGAAACUUACGCUAAUACCGCAUACGACCUACGGGUGAAAGCAGGGGAUCUUCGGACCUUGCGCGAUUGAAUGAGCCGAUGUCGGAUUAGCUAGUUGGCGGGGUAAAGGCCCACCAAGGCGACGAUCCGUAGCUGGUCUGAGAGGAUGAUCAGCCACACUGGAACUGAGACACGGUCCAGACUCCUACGGGAGGCAGAAGUGGGGAAUAUUGGACAAUGGGCGCAAGCCUGAUCCAGCCAUACCGCGUGGGUGAAGAAGGCCUUCGGGUUGUAAAGACCUUUUGUUGGGAAAGAAAAGCAGCAGGUUAAUACCCCGCUGUUCUGACGGUACCCAAAGAAUAAGCACCGGCUAACUUCGUG
RNAcentral lists this ribosomal RNA (492 nucleotides) under uncultured bacterium. Its description in RNAcentral is "partial 16S ribosomal RNA". It matches the Rfam family "Bacterial small subunit ribosomal RNA", at positions 29 to 507 of the family's 1533-position model. The record is from RNAcentral.